Molecule: ribosomal RNA, 868 nt
Filed under: uncultured archaeon
Lineage: Archaea
Description: bacterial SSU rRNA
Rfam family: Archaeal small subunit ribosomal RNA
Source: RNAcentral
CUCCGGUUGAUCCCGCCGGACCCGACUGCUAUCAGAGUGGGACUAAGCCAUGCGAGUCAACAUAGCAAUAUGUGGCAUACGGCUCAGUAACACGUAGUCAACAUGCCCAGGGGACGUGGAUAACCUCGGGAAACUGAGGAUAAACCACGAUAGGUCAUCACUUCUGGAAUGGGUAAUGACUUAAAUCUAUAUGGCCCCUGGAUUGGACUGCGGCCGAUCAGGCUGUUGGUGAGGUAAUGGCCCACCAAACCUGUAACCGGUACGGGCUCUGAGAGGAGGAGCCCGGAGAUGGGCACUGAGACAAGGGCCCAGGCCCUAUGGGGCGCAGCAGGCGCGAAACCUCUGCAAUAGGCGAAAGCUUGACAGGGUUACUCUGAGUGAUUUCCGUUAAGGAGAUCUUUUGGCACCUCUAAAAAUGGUGCAGAAUAAGGGGUGGGCAAGUCUGGUGUCAGCCGCCGCGGUAAUACCAGCACCCCGAGUGGUCGGGACGUUUAUUGGGCCUAAAGCAUCCGUAGCCGGUUCUACAAGUCUUCCGUUAAAUCCACCUGCUUAACAGAUGGGCUGCGGAAGAUACUAUAGAGCUAGGAGGCGGGAGAGGCAAGCGGUACUCGAUGGGUAGGGGUAAAAUCCGUUGAUCCAUUGAAGACCACCAGUGGCGAAGGCGGCUUGCCAGAACGCGCUCGACGGUGAGGGAUGAAAGCUGGGGGAGCAAACCGGAUUAGAUACCCGGGUAGUCCCAGCUGUAAACGAUGCAGACUCGGUGAUGAGUUGGCUUAUUGCUAACUCAGUGCCGCAGGGAAGCCGUUAAGUUUGCCGCCUGGGGAGUACGGUCGCAAGACUGAAACUUAAAGGAAUUGGCGGGGGAGCA